UCGAUAAUCGCACCAUUCGGUGGAUUUUUCGCAAGUGGCUUCAAGAGGGCUUUUAAAAUAAAGGAUUUUGGCGACAGUAUACCUGGGCAUGGUGGAAUCACCGACCGAAUGGACUGUCAAAUGGUUAUGGCAGUUUUUGCAUACAUAUACCACCAAUCGUUCAUCUCGCCCCACAAUUUCUCUGUUGACGCAACCUUGGAUCAGAUCUUAAGAAACCUGACGUACGAGGAGCAGAGAAACUUGUAUGAGCAACUCGGGGAGAUGUUGGGCAACUUAUGCAAAGCUGAUAAACUCGCUGCUUGCUUAUGAAAAGCACACAACACAAGACAGUAGGCUGGCUGUGUAUGUAUCUAUUUGAGCGCUCGCUCGGUUCGCCGCCAUGAAUGUAGCUCUAGAUUCACCGUGUACAGCGUCGUCGUCGUCGUAGCUCCUCUGUACCCUUGUGAUGGGAGUGAUGGUGUCCUUGUCGAAAACAUUGUACAGAAUGGAUGUAUGGACUGUGGUUGAUAGGGCUAACUAAUUUAAUGAGGUGCUUGAUUUGCUGUG
This is a long non-coding RNA of Triticum dicoccoides, 546 nucleotides long. RefSeq lists it as uncharacterized. The transcript is spliced from 4 exons. NCBI's taxonomy places the organism in Eukaryota, Viridiplantae, Streptophyta, Magnoliopsida, Poales, Poaceae. The record is from RefSeq and is a predicted model, not a curated record.